GUAGGUGGCAAGCGUUGUCCGGAAUUAUUGGGCGUAAAGCGCGCGCAGGCGGUUCUUUAAGUCUGAUGUGAAAGCCCACGGCUCAACCGCGGAGGGUCAUUGGAAACUGGAGAACUUGAGUACAGAAGAGGAAAGCGGAAUUCCACGUGUAGCGGUGAAAUGCGUAGAGAUGUGGAGGAACACCAGUGGCGAAGGCGGCUUUCUGGUCUGUAACUGACGCUGAGGCGCGAAAGCGUGGGGAGCAAACAGGAUUAGAUACCCUGGUAGUCCACACCGUAAACGAUGAGUGCUAAGUGUUAGGGGGGUUUUCCGCCCCCCUUAGUGCUGCAGCUAACGCAUUAAGCACUCCGCCUGGGAGUACGGCCGCAAGGCUG
Molecule: ribosomal RNA, 374 nt
Filed under: uncultured organism
Description: partial 16S ribosomal RNA
Rfam family: Bacterial small subunit ribosomal RNA
Source: RNAcentral